ACUCCUACGGGAGGCAGCAGUGGGAAUAUUGCACAAUGGGCGCAAGCCUGAUGCAGCCAUGCCGCGUGUAUGAAGAAGGCCUUCGGGUUGUAAAGUACUUUCAGCAGUGAGGAAAGGGUGGGGUAUGUUAAUAGCAUACUCAUUUGACGUUAGCUGCAGAAGAAGCACCGGUUAACUCCGUGCCAGCAGCCGCGGUAAUACGGAGGGUGCGAGCGUUAAUCGGAAUUACUGGGCGUAAAGCGCAUGCAGGUGGUUUGUUAAGUCAGAUGUGAAAGCCCGGGGCUCAAGCCUCGGAAUA
RNAcentral lists this ribosomal RNA (298 nucleotides) under uncultured bacterium. RNAcentral describes it as "partial 16S ribosomal RNA". It matches the Rfam family "Bacterial small subunit ribosomal RNA", at positions 335 to 622 of the family's 1533-position model. The record is from RNAcentral.